UGGUCUUCAGUUCAUGUCGUGGCUGGGUUGUUGCCAGUUACUUCAACUAGUCAGUUUUCUUGUUCUGCUUGCUCCAGUUACAUUAUGUCCUCCCAACCGUUGUCUGAUCAUGAAUACGUUGUCACAUUGUGCCUUUUGUUUCUGAAAGAUAAAACCUUGUAAUUUUAUUAUAUUACGAAGCCAAGCCGCGCACAUGGGUAUUUUUUGGGCUACCCCAGCUUUCAGGAUCCAGACACUUCAAAAUUGUUUUCUCAAGCUUCUUUUGAUGGUAUUUAGAAACUUGCAUAUGCUCAUUUAUUUCAGUUUAGUAAGCAACUUGAGCAAAAUGAGUCCACAAAUUAUCACCAGGCACGAAUGUCUCAGGUUGACAAAAUCGUCUGCCAGAGUGUGUUUUAUUCAAAGUCCUCAUUAUAGCCAUAUAAUAUUCGAGAUGUCCACCCCUACUAUCUCUUGUCUAUUUUAUGCUUGAAAAAAUAUAAAGCAUGUGAUUGUUGUUGUAUUUGUAGAGAAGAGGUAAUUUCUAGGAUUUUGUUUUUCUCAAGAGAGGAGUAAUGAAAUUGUGUCUUGACUCUAACCUGUUAGUUUGAUUUUGAUGGCUGUAGGGUUGUUUAGUUGCAUCAUAAGACAUCUUUGUUGAAUUAUCUGGAUCGCCUUACCUUGACAUGUCCUGUUAAUAAGUGUUUUAAAGAAAUAUUAUAAUUUAGAAAGAGAGGGGGAGGUUAGCAGAGUAUCAGAGAUAGUUAGUUACUGUAAAAAAGAAAGGGGGUCCUAUUCUCCAUCUCUCUUAUUCUGUUGUUAUGCAUGUAUCUUCCUGAUAUACUAAUAUAAAGUAUAAUUCAUGUGAUUCUCUCUGUUAAUGGUGAUGAAUCAGUCUUGCAAUUGAGGUGCAAGGGCCAUUUUGUGUGCUUUUGCCUCGUAGUUUCCUAUUCAAUGUACCUCUCGUAGCUGCUGAUUUUGAUGUGUUUGGGUUCACUAUCUUAGAGCCUGUUCGGACUCUCUCUGCUCUCCAACUCCACGCCGGAGCGGAGCAACAUCUAGUUCUAAUUUGGGGAGUGGCUGAAAAGGUGCUCCACGCGCUCUGCUCCAAACAGGGCCUUAGUUGAUGAUGUGAUUGGAUUCCAUAUGAUUUUAAAAUGAUCUGGAGAUUGCUUAUCUGGCUCAACACCAACACUUGAUCAGAGAUGGACAUCUUCAAUGAUCCAAUGCUUUUGCUUAUCUGACUUUUGUUGGUGCUUUUAUUCUGAAAUCUAAACUACUGCUUUUAUCCGUCGUUAAAUUCAUAUUAUACUUGAUGUAGACUGUUUGUUAUAUGAAGUGCUAGCCUACAUGUACUUGGUCAAGAGCAACAUGUGGGUUUUUCUAGGACUUGGUCACAAGGCACAUUAUGUUAAUUGUAGCCUGCUUGAUGUAUAGACUCAUGCAAGGACAAUAAUUAGCACCUAAAAAUCAUUGGUAGUGGUACUUCCAUGUUAGAGUUGCUUAUGGUAGCUACACCUUUCGCAAAGCCAUUCAUCUGUUGAUUGUUCCAGAGGCGCCAGCUUGUUGGCAAUUCAUGUAUUGUUUGCUUUGACGCGUGUUUUAACCACUUUACAUUGGUCUCUUAAUAAUGGUAUUGUUUUGGCUUCUUGCGGAAACAAGUAAAUCUGCACCUGCAUGGUUCUUUUUAAAAUAUUUCCUAGGAUUCCCUUUUCAAGAUGACAUGCUUAGUGUUGUGGAGGUCCAUGUUAUCAUGUCGAACCAAAACAUGCACGCUUUGAACUUUUUGUAACAGCAACUUGUCUUGAUUUAUGAAUUGACAGAGUGUAAUUUCUGCAUGCAGGGAGUGGCUCUCUGACGUUGCUCCUCGAGGAUGAUGCACUUGAAACCCUCUUUGGUGAGUUCCUGGUCUCCUCCCUCUCUCUCGCUUGUGUCCUGAGAUUGUCCUGCUCGAUAGCCAUGGUUGGCACUAGUGCGAAUCAUCGACCGAAUGAUUGAGGCCUUGGUUAUGUAUGUGGCCAUGCUUCCUUACUAUGCUGGUGGUCCUCCGGCCACCACAAGUGUUUUGUGUUGAUGAUUGGUGUGACGUUUUUUUAGCUGGGGCUAGUUUCAUGUUGUGCACUUGGCCAUCAUCUUCAUAGUUCUUACUGUAGUGUAGCUAUUUUUGGUGUUUUAUCAUGCCAUUGUCCUAAUCUGCUUGUGGAUGAGAUGCUGGCCAUUGAGUUGAUUUGUCAUAUCAUGGUUCGAAUUGCAAAUAGAACUUGCUACUGUGGAAGUUUACGCGGUUUAGAGAUUGGCCUGGUUUAGUUAAUUGCUAUGGAGUAAUUUUGAUAAGAACUAGAGUAAUUUUCUUGUUGUGGGUAUAUAGCUUGUUUACUUUCAGAUGAUGUUACUUUCUGGGUCUAUUUUCCUGAAUUGGCAUGGUAUAAUAACUACAUGUUGAUGGUUAUGCUACUCCUUGGCCAUGCUCUUGUUUGAUAGGCCUGGAAAAAGAGAUAGAUAUUCUCUACUAGAUGUUUUACCAAGUGUUAGUGGUUUGUGCUGCUGAUAAGAAGUGUGGCAUACUUGAGCUAAUCCUGUGUGCAGCUAAUCCCAACAUGGUUUGACUAAGCAGCUUGUUUACUAGAUUUUUUAUUUGCUAAAAAAUUGAGACUCUUGUUGUGCAUCAGAUACCCGAGUUUGGUGCCAUGGAGAUCGACGAUGAAGAUGUCAUUGCCCACAAAAGUGUCAAGGCAUUGAAGAGAGAAGACAUGUCCCCUGAGAGCCGAGAUGUGGAAAGCAUUAGGUAAAGUGGCAAGAGGAGCCGGAUGUGCAGCUUGUGCUUUUCUUUGUUGGCUGGUGGUUGCUGCUGAAGUGCAGAUUGAUGAUGCCUGGUGAUAUUGAAGUCCUAGUAGAUAGAUAUGCCCUAUGAUAAUUGUUUUCUUGUUGGUGGCUUACUUGUCGGCUGGUAGGUAUUGAGUCGAUGAAGUACCUUGUCGAAUUCUCAGCUCUUGUUGAUGUUCUCUUUUCUCGAUGGAGAGAGAGAGUGAUAUAUGAAGUGUAAAUUUCUGCAUAUUUUUUUCCACGAGUCUCUCCGAAAUGAAACCGGGAAUUGUGUGCCAUGCCAAUCUAUCAAUCUCUCUGUCUGUGAGUUGCCGAGAAGUUU
This 3121-nucleotide long non-coding RNA is filed under the name Triticum aestivum (bread wheat). RNAcentral describes it as "long non-coding RNA (TAES_LNC018912)". The record is from RNAcentral. Lineage: Eukaryota; Viridiplantae; Streptophyta; Magnoliopsida; Poales; Poaceae.